UUGAAAUCCUUUGGAUGCUGCUGGCCCCUCGGGGCAUGUGCACUCCUGCCUUUUCAUCUCACCUGUGAACUUAUUGUAGACCAGGUUUUAACAAACCUGUGUCUAUGUUAUCUUUACACACACACACAAGUUUAUCAGAAUGUCUCCAAGACCUUGAAUGGUCAAAAAAGUUAAUA
Molecule: unclassified non-coding RNA, 176 nt
Filed under: uncultured fungus
Lineage: Eukaryota; Fungi
Description: sequence contains ITS1, 5.8S rRNA gene
Source: RNAcentral